ACAUUCACUCACCUGCUGAGUCUCAACACGACCUGACUCCAUAUUUAAUAACUAUUCAGGUAUUAAAAAGCUGCACGUCUCUGCGGACUUGCACAACCAAAAAGUGCAUCGCCUGAUUUCACAAGCGGGGGGGGUGAAAAAGCGUUUGCUAGCCCGGGAUGUUUAUAAACAAUGCGGGCAUCACCAGCGCCAACAGCAGCCUCGGAGCGACAACAUCCAGGCGAACACGCUUCAAAACAAACUCAAGUUCGUAUUUCACCCGCGCACUUCCGGAAUAAGUUUAAGUUUUCUGUUUUAAAAGCAAUAACACUGAGUCUAAGUUGCUGUUAGUCAGUGAGACCAGCAGCUUCCCACCGGCUGCGCUGUUUGAUGUGGGAGACUCAGUUUGGAAACGGGAAAGAGGAGCAGAGAAGGUACCUAAAACCAUAUUCCUGAACUUCUGCUUCUAAUUUACCUGCUUUUUUCCGUGUUGAGAUUGAGUUCCUCUGUCGAUGGCUACCAGGAACACCUCCUCCUCCUCGGAUGCCCUGGCGGCCACGAGUCCCGCCCCUUUCGCCUGUGAUUGGGCAGCUUCUACUGACUCCCUGCUUUUAUUGGUUCAACAGAGCCGUCUGUUGAGACAGUGUGCUUUAACUACUUCCAGGCUGACUUGGGCUAUGAUUGGAUCGCCUGGAGAGGUUAAAGGGUAACCAGGCGUUCCUGAACCUGUAGGAGAUUGGGAGCAGCUUGUUGGUCUUCUUCAUGUUCUGGACCUUAGCGUGCGUCUCCUCAUCCAUAGUCUUGUAGCAUCGCCUGGCGUAAUCCAGAAGCUUCUCCUUGGAGGCCUCAAACUCUCCUACAUCAGUCACCUGCAGGAGAAAAACUUCAGUCUUUACAAAGCAGGAGCUCUGCGAUCGGGGAGGUGGAGGCCAUCGUGUUUCGGUCGACUCCGUGGAUCUGGAAGGCUCUGGACAUGCUCCUCACCCGCUGAUCCUCCUCAUCUUCAUCUUCGGCUCUCCGGUGCCACGCCCUCGGCUCUUCUUCUUUGACCCGCUCUCCACAGUCGAGUCUGCAUCAUCCUCCACCUCUUCUUCCCCCUCUUCCUCAACAAACUCUUCCUCUGUGGACAGUGAUGUUGCGGCGGAUCCGAGCUCCGGGGCGCUGGAGGCGUUUGAGGGUCAUCCCCGACCUGGUGGUCAUCGGGGAAGGAGGAGAUGGAGAGCUGGCAGGCUGGA
Molecule: long non-coding RNA, 1214 nt
Organism: Xiphophorus hellerii (green swordtail)
Lineage: Eukaryota; Metazoa; Chordata; Actinopteri; Cyprinodontiformes; Poeciliidae
Exons: 6
Source: RefSeq, a predicted model, not a curated record